This 304-nucleotide small nuclear RNA is filed under the name Neotoma lepida (desert woodrat). Its description in RNAcentral is "7SK RNA". It matches the Rfam family "7SK RNA". From Rfam's summary of the family: 7SK was discovered as an abundant small nuclear RNA in the mid-70s but a possible function has only recently been suggested. Two independent studies have found that 7SK RNA binds the CDK9/cyclin T complex (known as elongation factor P-TEFb). The record is from Rfam by way of RNAcentral. Lineage: Eukaryota; Metazoa; Chordata; Mammalia; Rodentia; Cricetidae.
AUGAUAUAGUUGUAACCCCAUUGGUAACUAGGGCUAACUCGGAUGAUUUGGCUGUUUAGGAGGGUGGCCCUAUCUUCCCUUACCACUCCAUAUUCAUUCUUUCUUAGAUAAUGCCCAUAGUCAAAGAGGAAAGCCUUGGCUGGCUAAGAACUGGUCUUCAGUCAAGAGUAAAUAGAGUAGUAGCUAGGCUUCCCCAUUAGUAUCACCAAACAAGCCCUCAAGGCCCCUUACUUUGACAUUUAGUGGUCAAGGUCACCAUACAAGUAACAAAGAAAUGUGACUAGUAUAAGAACACUCACACUAU